UCUGGUUGAUCCUGCCAGUAGUCAUAUGCUUGUCUCAAAGAUUAAGCCAUGCAUGUCUAAGUAUAAAUAGUAUACAGUGAAACUGCGAAUGGCUCAUUAAAACAGUUAUAGUUUAUUUGAUAAUUGACAAUUACAUGGAUAACCGUGGUAAUUCUAGAGCUAAUACAUGCUUAAACGCCCGACUUUAUGGAAGGGUGGUAUUUAUUAGACUGAAGCCAAUAUUCCUUGUGUCUAUUGCGGUGAUUCAUAAUAACUGAUCGAAUCUCUUUUUGAGAUAAAUCAUUCAAGUUUCUGCCCUAUCAGCUUUCGAUGGUAGUGUAUUGGACUACCAUGGCAGUAACGGGUAACGAAGAAUUAGGGUUCGAUUUCGGAGAGGGAGCAUGAGAAACGGCUACCACAUCUAAGGAAGGCAGCAGGCGCGUAAAUUACCCAAUCCUGACUCAGGGAGGUAGUGACAAGAAAUAGCAAACCGGGAACCUCAUGGUUUCACGGUAUUGCAAUGAGAACAAUUUAAAACCCUUAGCGAGAAUCAAGUGGAGGACAAGUCUGGUGCCAGCACCCGCGGUGAUUCCAGCUCCACUAGCGUAUAUUAAAGUUGUUGCAGUUAAAAGCUCGUAGUUGAACCUCUGUCUGGGGCUAGUUUUGGCUUUGGUCAGGCUAGUUCUAGGCAUCCGCCUACAAGACUUAGAGGGCAUUCAGUUGUUCACUAGGAGGAGUAGGCAUUUUACUUUGAAAAAAUUAGAGUGUUUAAGGCAGGCAAUCGCCCGCAUAUAUUAGCAUGGAAUAAUAGAAUAGGACACUUUUCCAUUUCGUUGGUUAUUGGAAUCGUGUAAUGAUUAAUAGGGACAGUUGUGGGCAUUUGUAUUUAAUUGUCAGAGGUGAAAUUCUUGGAUUUAUUAAAGACAAACUAACGCGAAAGCAUUUGCCAAGGAUGUUUUCAUUAAUCAAGAACGAAAGUUAGGGGAUCAAAGACGAUCAGAUACCGUCCUAGUCUUAACUAUAAACUAUUCCGACUCAAUGUUUGACUGGCUUAUAUAACCAGUUGAGCGUUGUAUGAGAAAUCAAAGUCUUUAGGUUCUGGGGGGAGUAUGGUUGCAAAGCUGAAACUUAAAGGAAUUGACGGAAGAGCACAACCAGGAGUGGAUUCUGCGGCUUAAUUUGACUCAACACGGGGAAACUUACCAGGUUAAAACAAUAGUGGGAUUGACAGUUUGAGAGCGCUUUCUUGAUUGGUUGGGUGGUGGUGCAUGGCCGUUCUUAGUUGGUGGAGUGAUUUGUCUGCUUAA
Molecule: ribosomal RNA, 1286 nt
Filed under: metagenome
Description: SSU rRNA
Rfam family: Eukaryotic small subunit ribosomal RNA
Source: RNAcentral